UACGUAGGUGACGAGCGUUGUCCGGAUUUACUGGGCGUAAAGAGCGCGCAGGCGGUCGUUCAAGUCGAGUGUGAAAGCCCCCGGCUCAACUGGGGAGGGUCACUCGAUACUGAUCGACUCGAAGGCAGGAGAGGGUAGUGGAAUUCCCGGUGUAGUGGUGAAAUGCGUAGAUAUCGGGAGGAACAUCUGUGGCGAAGGCGACUGCCUGGACCAGCACUGACACUGAGGCACGAAAGCGUGGGGAGCAAACAGG
Molecule: ribosomal RNA, 253 nt
Filed under: uncultured bacterium
Lineage: Bacteria
Description: partial 16S ribosomal RNA
Rfam family: Bacterial small subunit ribosomal RNA
Source: RNAcentral